CACGUGUGGUGAGGAAUAUGAGAUUGGCCAGGAGUGGUGUGGCAUAUGAGAUUGGCCAGGAUUCGUGUGGAAUAUGAGAUUAAAGGUUUAGCAAAAAAUGACACUGAUAUUUUGAAGAGAUGCAUGACAAGGAAGAAUGUCACAUUACAGGAGCAAGCAAUAGAGGUAAAUUAAUUCAAAACUUUAAUUAUCAUUUUAAACAAUGCAAAAAAGCUUAUCCCC
Long non-coding RNA from Hypanus sabinus (Atlantic stingray), 222 nucleotides. RefSeq lists it as uncharacterized. The transcript is spliced from 3 exons. The record is from RefSeq and is a predicted model, not a curated record. NCBI's taxonomy places the organism in Eukaryota, Metazoa, Chordata, Chondrichthyes, Myliobatiformes, Dasyatidae.